AUUGAGUAACUAUUUUUAUGGAAAUUGAGUUUUAUUAUUAUUGCUAAAUUACAAUUAUUGCAAAAAGUUGAUUCCUUUUCAUAUAUAAUUCUAGAUUAGUUUUUGCAAAUUUUUUUUGCUUUGUAUAAUGCAUCGAUAACAAGUAUCAGCUUAUUUUGUAUAGUUUAUGGUUGAUAGCGUAUUAUCAGUGCACUAGUCCUUGUUCCAAAUUCCUCCAAGAUUCUCUUACAAAACAAACAUUUCAUUUGAUUUGUAUUCAAUUUAUUGGAGAAACGAAAUUGAAACAGUAUGACUGACGUUGAAACUCAAAGUAAAGAUGAACAAAAUUUUUGUUUUACAUGGUGUGACUAUGAAAAUCAUUUGUCAGGAGUUGUGCAGCAACUUCUUAAUGAUGGAUGUAUGGUUGACGUGACGCUUUCUGUUGCUGGUGAGAGAAUUCAUGCUCACCGAAUGGUUUUAUGUGCUUGUAGUACAUUAUUUCAAGAAAUACUCAGUGAAACACCUGAAGAUCAUCCCACAAUUAUAAUUAGUGAUAUUUCACCUCAAGACAUGAAGUCAAUAGUGGAGUUUUCUUAUCGUGGUGAAGUCAGAAUACCUGUUGAAAACAUCAACAGUUUAUUAGAGGCCGCACAUCUACUUAAAAUAUGUGGGCUUAUGGAGAUUGAGAGUUUGGAUGAUGACGUAUCUAAUGAAUGUAAAGAAGUUACAGUAGAUUCGGUAGGUGAUUCAAAUGAAUCUGAUAAUGCCUGGAAACCUGCUGAGCGUGAUCCAAAUACUGAUGAAACUUAUUCAUUGAGUGAGCCAUCACACAAGAAAAUUUCUAAAAAACGGAAACGCAGAAGAGAUUAUACCAGAAAAGAGUAUAAUAAUGAUAUGCUCGAAAUGGCUUUGAGUGAUGUUCGUGCAGGUUUAUCUUUAGUAGAUGCAUCUACCAAAAAUAAUGUUCCACGUUCAACAUUGUACAUGCGAGCUAAAGCGUUAGGAUUACAAUUAAAUACAACUAGACAUGAAUAUCCUGCUGAAUGUUUACAAGCAGCUAUAAAUGCAGUCAUGAGUGGUUCAAGUUUUCAACAUGCAUCUGAAUUGUACAGCAUACCAAAAACAGUUUUAUGGAGGAGAAUUCAAAAAGAAAAUUAUCAAUCUCUGAGAUCGGAAACUAAAAGAUCAUAUGAUUCUGAUAAAAGAGAAGCUGCUAUAAAAGCUUUACAAAGAGGAGAGAAUCUAACAAAAGUAUCGUUAGAAUUUCAGAUACCUAAGACAACGUUAUUUCGUGAUAAAGUGAAAUUAGUAGAUCAAGGAAAAUUACCAGAGACUUUUUGGAAGAGAAGAAAGACUGAAGAUGAAAAAGUGAAACAAAUGCGUUUAGAACAAGCUGUUGCUGCUUGUAUGGAAGGCAAAAUGUCCCAAGCAGCGGCAGCUAUUGCAUACCAUAUUCCAAAAACUACUAUAUGGCGUCGGCUUCAACAAGAAAAUAAAAAAAUAGAUAGGACGAAAAAUCCUAAACGACAAUCACAGCUUAUACAAUCGAUUGUCAAAGAAGAAAUUGAACAAAAAAAUGAUUCUGAUACUACACUGUGUGAGGUUUCAUCUGAAAUUCCAUUGACAUACAUUGAUGAAAAUAAUGUACCAGAAAAUUCUGUCAUCAUUUUAACUAAAGGAGAAGUUGAUGAACUUAAUUUAGGAGAUGAUCAACAAAUUAUAGUUAGUACGGAUUCUGACCAUGAGUAUGUUCCAUGUACAAUAAGUAUCGAAGACUCAACGAAUUAUGCAACGACUGAUAGUUAAAAAAAUUUAUUUUCUAGUUACUGUGAUUAAAAAUUAAAAAAUGAGUCUGUUGGUGGCUAAGAAUGAAAACGUGAGUAU
This 1863-nucleotide unclassified non-coding RNA is filed under the name Chelonus insularis. RNAcentral's name for it is "uncharacterized LOC118074243, transcript variant X3". The record is from RNAcentral. Lineage: Eukaryota; Metazoa; Arthropoda; Insecta; Hymenoptera; Braconidae.